This 253-nucleotide ribosomal RNA is filed under the name uncultured bacterium. Its description in RNAcentral is "partial 16S ribosomal RNA". It matches the Rfam family "Bacterial small subunit ribosomal RNA", at positions 524 to 776 of the family's 1533-position model. The record is from RNAcentral.
GACAGAGGUGCCAAGCGUUAGGCGGAAUCACUGGGCUUAAAGCGUGUGUAGGUGGAUGUCUAAGUACCUUGUGAAAUCCCACGGCUCAACCGUGGAACUGCUCGGUAUACUGGAUGUCUUGAGCCACUUAGGGGCUACCGGAACAAAUGGUGGAGCGGUGAAAUGCGUAGAUAUCAUUUGGAACGCCAAUGGUGAAAACAGGUAGCUGGGAGUGUGCUGACACUGAGACACGAAAGCCAGGGGAGCGAACGGG